RNAcentral lists this ribosomal RNA (558 nucleotides) under Tritonoharpa antiquata. RNAcentral's name for it is "partial 12S ribosomal RNA". The record is from RNAcentral. Lineage: Eukaryota; Metazoa; Mollusca; Gastropoda; Neogastropoda; Cancellariidae.
CGGUUAAACUAAAGGAUUAAAUUAUAUUUUUAAAGGUAAAAAGGUAGUUAAGUAUACCAUUUAGUUAUAUUAUUUUGUAUAAAAAGGUGAAAUUCACUUAUACAAAAAUAAAUCAAAAAUAACUAAUUAAACUGAAGCUGCGAAAUCUUUGAGGGAAACUAGGAUUAGAUACCCUAUUAUUCAAAGUUAUAAAUAAUAAACUUACCAGAGUACUACGAAUUAAAUAAUUUAAAACUCAAAGGACUUGGCGGUGUUUUAGACUUUUUAGGGGAACCUGUCUCAUAAUCGACAAUCCACGUUAAACCUGACCUUUUUUUGCUAUCAGCCUGUAUACCGUUGUCGUCAGGUAGCUUUUAAGAACUAUAAAAGUUAGCAACAUAAACAGUAAAUUAUUACGUCAAAUCAAGGUGCAGCCAAUAAAUUGGGGAAGAUGGGUUACAAUUAAAAUUUAUAAUUAUGGAUAAAAUUAAUGAAAUUUAUUUAUUGAAAGAGGACUUAAAAGUAAAAUAAAUUAUAUAAAUGAUUUGAAUAAAGCUCUGAAACGUGUACUAACCCCCC